RNAcentral lists this ribosomal RNA (491 nucleotides) under uncultured bacterium. RNAcentral's name for it is "bacterial SSU rRNA". It matches the Rfam family "Bacterial small subunit ribosomal RNA", at positions 62 to 561 of the family's 1533-position model. The record is from RNAcentral.
UCGAGGGGCAGCAUGAUUGAAGCUUGCUUCAAUUGAUGGCGACCGGCGCACGGGUGAGUAACGCGUAUCCAACCUUCCGUACACUCAGGGAUAGCCUUUCGAAAGAAAGAUUAAUACCUGAUGGUAUGAUGAGAUUGCAUGAUAGCAUCAUUAAAGAUUUAUCGGUGUACGAUGGGGAUGCGUUCCAUUAGGUAGUUGGUGGGGUAACGGCCUACCAAGUCGACGAUCAGUAGCCGGACUGAGAGGUUGAACGGCCACAUUGGGACUGAGACACAGCCCAGACUCCUACGGGAGGCAGCAGUGGGGAAUAUUGCACAAUGGGGGAAACCCUGAUGCAGCAACGCCGCGUGAAGGAAGACGGUUUUCGGAUUGUAAACUUCUGUUCUUAGUGAAGAAUAAUGACGGUAGCUAAGGAGCAAGCCACGGCUAACUACGUGCCAGCAGCCGCGGUAAUACGUAGGUGGCAAGCGUUGUCCGGAAUUACUGGGUGU